GACGAACGCUGGCGGCGUGCUUAACACAUGCAAGUCGAACGAAGUGGCGAACGGGUGAGUAAUACGUGAGUAAACUGCCCUCCUUUUUGGGAUAAGCCUUGGAAACGGGGUCUAAUACCGAAUAAAGGGGGAUGGGCUCGCGGCCUAUCAGCUUGUUGGUGGGGUGAUGGCCUAUCAAGGCGGCGACGGGUAGCCGGCCUGAGAGGGUGGACGGCCAAAGUGGGACUGAGACACGGCCCAGACGCCUACGGGACGAAGCAGUGGGGAGUAGUGCACAAUGGGCGGAAGCAUGAUGCAGCGACGCCGCGUGGGGGAGGACGGCCUUCGGGUUGUAAACUCCUUUCACCAUCGACGCGGUAGAUGGAGAAGAAGCACCGGCUAACUACGUGCCAGCAGCCGCGGUAAUAC
RNAcentral lists this ribosomal RNA (408 nucleotides) under uncultured bacterium. RNAcentral describes it as "partial 16S ribosomal RNA". It matches the Rfam family "Bacterial small subunit ribosomal RNA", at positions 28 to 526 of the family's 1533-position model. The record is from RNAcentral.